UUCAUCUCGGACCCAAGUGUUUGA
This 24-nucleotide non-coding RNA is filed under the name Arabidopsis thaliana (thale cress). Lineage: Eukaryota; Viridiplantae; Streptophyta; Magnoliopsida; Brassicales; Brassicaceae. The record is from RNAcentral.